Long non-coding RNA from Helicoverpa armigera (cotton bollworm), 599 nucleotides. RefSeq lists it as uncharacterized. The transcript has 2 exons. The record is from RefSeq and is a predicted model, not a curated record. Lineage: Eukaryota; Metazoa; Arthropoda; Insecta; Lepidoptera; Noctuidae.
CCGAAUGUGUGCGUCCAGUCGUAAUACUCAUAAUCUGUGAGUCGCGUCGCGUCGUCGUAUAGGAAAAAUAUUUGUCAUGAUAAAUUAAAAUGCAAUUGGCAACUGGCAACAUUCAUGGAACGAAAAGUUCGACUGUCAAAAUGAAGAUUUGGCACAAAGGCUAAAACGCCAUGCCAUUAAAAAUUAAAAAAAAAAAAAGUUCGACUGCUUGAAGGGUGGGUCUUUCUUUCUUCUAUCUAUGUAUGCGAGCCAUGAGAUUACCAACAAUCGACAACAGAAUUAUUAAUUGAGAAAUACAUCCAAGUAAUAGUUAAAUAACCUAUAUAAUAAUACAAUCAUGUUCCGCUUACCCUAUGGAGAAAGAGUUGACCCCAUGGAAGAAAAGCGCCAAGCGCGUGAGAAUACCAUCAGUAGCGUGAUUACUUUCGCUAUACUUUGUGCCGCUAUCAGAGUGGCACCCAUAAUACUGGAACACAGUGGUCUUCAAGCUUAAGGAUAUACAUAAGAUACAAACCAAAAAAUGCUGGAAGAUUUAAUCAGCAGGUAGCUGCAUUGUUUAUUAUAGAAGAUGUUUGUUUCAAAUAAAUUCAUGUGAGCAA